UAAGUCAAUACAUCUUGAUUGGCCUGAAAAAGCAAACCACUUUACAUUUGUCGGCACUAAAGCAACCAAUCGAUCACAGCUAUUAACAACUUUAGUUACUUAAUACGCACUAUAUUCGUUUAAACUUUAAUUAUUUGUUUCUUGGACAAAAAAGUAAACUAACGCAAAGAAUUAUAUGAUCAUAUCACCUGAGGAAUCCCGAGGAGUGGAAUCUAUGAAAGAGUUCCCAUUGAUCGUGGCCGGAUUGGUGACGUCAUUCUUGACGGGGGAUGUCGUGUCAGGUUCAGAGAUUAGGGCCGAAAGCUUUACGGCGGAAUCAGAGGAGGUCUUGAUGGUGUUGUGAGAAGAGGAGACACAGGAUCCCAUCUGAAGACUCACUCGUGUCCAGCACAGAGAGCAAGAAUGAUUUGGGUUAGGAGAGAGUGGGGGGAAAUGAGUUUAGAGGAUCUAAAAGGCACAGAGAGGGAAUGAAGGAAGGAAGAUGAAGAAGCAAAGAGAGGGGCUUCAAAGCCAAGUUAAUGGUAUGACAAAAAGAGCAGUUUCGAUUUGGUAAGUGUCUUAAUUGUCUCGUUUAUUUUCAAAUAAUUUAUUAUGGCCUCUUCGUAUUGGUCCUCCUAACAUUAUGAUAUGGGCUCCCCCACACUUUAUUUGUUUUAUCUAAUCUUUCUAUUUUCUUGGUUUGUUGUUUCAAUGUUUUUUUUUGACUCCUUGCAUUUUGUCAUUCUGUUUCGUGCCGCAUGAAAUGUACGCCCCCCUCUCACAUCUAAUUUAGAAACAUCUAAUAUUUUUUGGUUCGUAAAACAAUUUUUUUUAUAACCGAGGUCAACCGACUAAUCUCACAGAAAUCAUAAAACAAAUACUAUAUUUCAUCUAGUUCUCCAUAAUUAGAACAUGGGCGAUACAAGAAAUGAUUCAUUUAGAAAUAUCUAUCAGGCUUUAGUGUUUUUAAAUUUUUUUGGUAGUUUUGGGUUGAUGAACACUCCAUCCUAGUAUAGGCUGAGAUGAUUGUGUGUAAUGAACUCUUAAAUCUUUGAUGUUUAAUUUCAAUUAUCAGAUAAUAAAAAAAAGUUGAUUCAUUUUGGACAAGAGGUUAAUGGGUGGUCAGGUCAAUCAUAACCAGAUCCAUAGUUCUUCAUCUUAAGUAAAUGGACAGCGUUUUGAUUGAAAAUAUCUACAAAGUGGGAAAAAAGAAGAAUAAAAGACAAGAGUUUCCCUUUACACUAGGACAAUGACUCUACGUUUGGUCGAGAUUCGGGUUGAAUGAAGAUCUCAGAGGUAAAGUUUGGGAUGUCAAUAUUAAUACCCUGUUCUUUUAGAAGACGGCAGCGUCUACGGCUUGCGGCCAAAUUUAUAAUUGUUUCUUGGGGGGGGGGGUGCUUAGCGUUGGACGUGAACGGGAGUAUGAUUCAUCAUCUUCCGUCGCCGCUCAGUGAAACUGCUACAAGAAACCAAACGCAGAACGCAGCUGCCUUGAGCCGACGAUUUCACCCUCUUAAGUUGUUGUCUUUCUGUAUCAUUAUUAUUAUAAGGAGUCGCCGGUGCAGAAGAUCUGACCGGUGUUCUUAGCCAGAGACAUGCUCUUGCUUUGCUUUCCGCCACGUCAUCCUCUCCUUCGUCCUCAUCUUGAUCCUGCGUCUCUUUGAAGAGUUCGAGGAGUCUCUUCUUGUUGUCUGUUGGAGACGGCUCUUCGUGUUUUUUCUCAUCUGCUUUAGGAGUUUUGUCAGAGAAUUUGUGAUGCACCGGUGUUGUUCCUCGCGACGGCGUAAAUUCUGCAAUGAAACAAGUCAAAUGUUCAGUCAUUAUUUAUUGAAAAAUAUUAUAGAUAUAUGUUACAAAGUAACUUCUCAAUAAAACGUCAUACCACCAUCAACGCUCAUGAAAUCAUCUUCACAGUCAGAAUCAAGCCACCCCCUUGAAUCGAAAAAAGUGAUCUCCUCUUUAUUUACAUUAAGAAACAAUCCAAAUCAUCAUUAUCUCAUAUAAUACUAUGUCACAACUCACAAGGAAGAGGAUAAUGGACACUUUUAAACUGUAAGGUAAAAGAAAUUGGAGGUUUUGAGUAAAUGCAGUAGCUGUACGUACCCCUAACUAACUACACCGGUUGUUCUGAUUUUUUAACAAUACGUUUCAACAUCAUACAUUUAUUAAAUGUUAUGAUUUUUUAAUAUAUGAAAGUUGCAACUUGAGGUAUGGUCCAUGUAUACAUAUCACUCUAACUGUAUAAUAUUGGUAUAUGCCUUGAAGACAUUCUAACCUCUAGCGUACGCUUCACCCUUUGCCCAUAUGAUACUACUACUAUUGUUUUGUAAAUUGAUAGAUCCCUGUUGUUACCCAUGUUUAUGACCAUCAUCAAACUAACUUUAUCAAUUUAAAAGCUCAUUUUCAUCUAACUAAUGCUUAUGACUCAGUAUAUGAUCUCUAAGUCAAUACAUCUUGAUUGGCCUGAAAAAGCAAACCACUUUACAUUUGUCGGCACUAAAGCAACCAAUCGAUCACAGCUAUUAACAACUUUAGUUACUUAAUACGCACUAUAUUCGUUUAAACUUUAAUUAUUUGUUUCUUGGACAAAAAAGUAAACUAACGCAAAGAAUUAUAUGAUCAUAUCACCUGAGGAAUCCCGAGGAGUGGAAUCUAUGAAAGAGUUCCCAUUGAUCGUGGCCGGAUUGGUGACGUCAUUCUUGACGGGGGAUGUCGUGUCAGGUUCAGAGAUUAGGGCCGAAAGCUUUACGGCGGAAUCAGAGGAGGUCUUGAUGGUGUUGUGAGAAGAGGAGACACAGGAUCCCAUCUGAAGACUCACUCGUGUCCAGCACAGAGAGCAAGAAUGAUUUGGGUUAGGAGAGAGUGGGGGGAAAUGAGUUUAGAGGAUCUAAAAGGCACAGAGAGGGA
This 2886-nucleotide long non-coding RNA is filed under the name Brassica napus (rape). Its description in RNAcentral is "long non-coding RNA (BNAP_LNC002456)". Lineage: Eukaryota; Viridiplantae; Streptophyta; Magnoliopsida; Brassicales; Brassicaceae. The record is from RNAcentral.